AGAGUUUGAAUGCUGGCUCAGGACGAACGCUGGCGGCGUGCCUAAUACAUGCAAGUCGAGCGAGCUGAAUUCAAAGAUCCCUUCGGGGUGAUUUGUUGGACGGUAGCGGCGGAUGGGUGAGUAACACGUGGGCAAUCUGCCCUAAAGACUGGGAUACCACUUGGAAACAGGUGCUAAUACCGGAUAACAACAUGAAUCGGAUGAUUCAAGUUUGAAAGGCGGCGCAAGCUGUCACUUUAGGAUGAGCCCGCGGCGCAUUAGCAAGUUGGUGGGGUAAAGGCCUACCAAGGCAAUGAUGCGUAGCCGAGUUGAGAGACUGAUCGGCCACAUUGGGACUGAGACACGGCCCAAACUCCUACGGGAGGCAGCAGUUGGGAAUCUUCCACAAUGGACGCAAGUCUGUUGGAGCAACGCCGCGUGAGUGAAGAAGGUCUUCGGAUCGAAAAGCUCUGUUGUUGGUGAAGAAGGAU
RNAcentral lists this ribosomal RNA (470 nucleotides) under Lactobacillus delbrueckii subsp. lactis. RNAcentral describes it as "bacterial SSU rRNA". It matches the Rfam family "Bacterial small subunit ribosomal RNA", at positions 8 to 453 of the family's 1533-position model. The record is from RNAcentral. Lineage: Bacteria; Bacillati; Bacillota; Bacilli; Lactobacillales; Lactobacillaceae.